RNAcentral lists this transfer RNA (71 nucleotides) under Loxodonta africana (African savanna elephant). It matches the Rfam family "tRNA". From Rfam's summary of the family: Transfer RNA (tRNA) molecules are approximately 80 nucleotides in length. Their secondary structure includes four short double-helical elements and three loops (D, anti-codon, and T loops). Further hydrogen bonds mediate the characteristic L-shaped molecular structure. tRNAs have two regions of fundamental functional importance: the anti-codon, which is responsible for specific mRNA codon recognition, and the 3' end, to which the tRNAs corresponding amino acid is attached (by aminoacyl-tRNA synthetases). tRNAs cope with the degeneracy of the genetic code in two manners: having more than one tRNA (with a specific anti-codon) for a particular amino acid; and 'wobble' base-pairing, i.e. permitting non-standard base-pairing at the 3rd anti-codon position. Lineage: Eukaryota; Metazoa; Chordata; Mammalia; Proboscidea; Elephantidae. The record is from Rfam by way of RNAcentral.
GCACUGGUGGUUCAAUGGUACAAUUCUCACCUUCCAUGUAAGUGACCUGGGUUUGAUUUCCUGCCAAUGCA